CAAUAGCGUAUAUUAAAGUUGUUGCAGUUAAAAAGCUCGUAGUUGGAUUUCUGGUGGGAGCGAUCGGUCUGGCGCUUAGCGCGAGUACUUGCAUCGUCUCCGGCCAUCCUUGGGGAGAGUCUGUCUGGCAUUAAGUUGUCGGGCAGAGGAUCCUCAUCGUUUACUGUGAAAAAAUUAGAGUGUUCAAAGCAGGCUUAUGCCGUUGAAUAUAUUAGCAUGGAAUAAUAAGAUAGGACUUUGGUACUAUUUUGUUGGUUUGCGCACCAAAGUAAUGAUUAAUAGGGACAGUUGGGGGUGUUCGUAUUCCGUUGUCAGAGGUGAAAUUCUUGGAUUUACGGAAGACGAACUACUGCGAAAGCAUUUACCAAGGAUGUUUUCAUUAA
This 383-nucleotide ribosomal RNA is filed under the name uncultured eukaryote. RNAcentral's name for it is "partial 18S ribosomal RNA". It matches the Rfam family "Eukaryotic small subunit ribosomal RNA", at positions 592 to 976 of the family's 1831-position model. The record is from RNAcentral.